This 253-nucleotide ribosomal RNA is filed under the name uncultured bacterium. RNAcentral describes it as "partial 16S ribosomal RNA". It matches the Rfam family "Bacterial small subunit ribosomal RNA", at positions 524 to 776 of the family's 1533-position model. The record is from RNAcentral.
UACGUAGGGGGCCAGCGUUGUCCGGAAUCAUUGGGCGUAAAGCGCGCGUAGGCGGCCCGGUAAGUCCGCUGUGAAAGUCCAGGGCUCAACCCUGGAAAGCCGGUGGAUACUGCCGGGCUAGAGUCCGGAAGAGGCGAGUGGAAUUCCUGGUGUAGCGGUGGAAUGCGCAGAUAUCAGGAGGAACACCAAUGGCGAAGGCAGCUCUCUGGUACGUAACUGACGCUGAGACGCGAAAGCGUGGGGAGCGAACAGG